Molecule: long non-coding RNA, 524 nt
Filed under: Neogobius melanostomus (round goby)
Lineage: Eukaryota; Metazoa; Chordata; Actinopteri; Gobiiformes; Gobiidae
Description: lncRNA (ENSNMLG00000002765.1)
Source: RNAcentral
AAAACAAGAAACAAACAAUUUGCACCAUUUUGCACAAUGGCACAGCGGUUAGCGCUCGUUCUUCACAGCAAGAAUGUCCAGGGUUCUAUUCCCACCUGGACGGGGCCUUUCUGUGUGGAGUUUGCAUGUUCUCCCCGUGUCUGCGUAGGUCAAACUUCCCUAAAGUUUCAGAGGACGACGCGACGCACACCUACAACAUGGACCCACCUGGACCUGGCCCCGGGUCUAAACCCAGACCUAAACCUGCUCCCAGCUCUGUGUCUUUGAAAAGUGACCGGUCCAAACAAGAUCCUCCUGUCUUUAAAGAGCCGCCUCCUGAAGACCAGAGCGCCUACAUGGCCCAAACUGGACCUGGCCCCGGGUCUAAACCCAGACCUAAACCUGCUCCCAGCUCUGUGUCUCUGAAAAGUGACCACUCUAAAGGUUGGCCUCCUGACUUUAGAGAACCUCCUCCUGAAGACCAGAGGUCAGAUACGUUUUAUUCUACAUAAAUGAAGAAAACGGCUGAGAGAGGAAGCUAUCGG